UAGAUAACAUUUUGAGACUUCCAUUAUUGCAUGAUGAACAUAACUUAACAUUUGACAAACAAUUAUAUAACUUAGAAAGACGAUUACAUAACUUAACAAAACAAUAAUAAAUAAGAAAACAUAAACACUACUAGAUGAUUCUGGACGUUUCAAUAUCUUGAUUAUGUCUUCGACAGAUCUAGAAAUUAUCGCAUCAAAC
This 199-nucleotide long non-coding RNA is filed under the name Lathyrus oleraceus (garden pea). Its description in RNAcentral is "Pisum sativum (pea) long non-coding RNA (PSAT_LNC019841)". Lineage: Eukaryota; Viridiplantae; Streptophyta; Magnoliopsida; Fabales; Fabaceae. The record is from RNAcentral.